CUUUAGCAAAAUGCAACUUACCUAAUUGUUUCUUUUAAUUAAGUUCAUUCAUGUUUUAUUUUGUCUGAAAUUAUGAUCACUACCCUUCCCUUUUUUGCUUCCGUUGAAGCAUAAUAGAGACUGCUCUAGACUCUUAUUUUAACUCUUUGUCUUCCAGUUUCAGGUUUGUUUCUUGUAAAGAACAUAUGCUGAAUUUGGGUUUCUAAUCCAUUAUGCUAUCUUUUUUCCAUUUUAUGAGUGAGUUCAUCCCAUUCACAUUAACACUUUUAUUAUUAUUUCUCUUAAUCCUAUUCUCUCACCAAAUCCAGGUCAGAAAAUUGUAAAUCUCGUAUCAGGAGUUUAACCAUGAAACUUUGUCCUAGAUCAUAGCGCAGAGGGAGCAUUGAGGGCCUGUAGGAUCUCCACCUGAACUGUCUCUAGAAUUCUGGAAUAGUACAAUGCUCACUAUGCUCAAGAAAGCAGCUGAAGUUUAAAAAAAAAAAAAAAAAAAAAAAAAAAACCUCAAUCCCUCUCCCCACCAAAAAAAGAAAAAGAAAAAAAGAAAGAAAAAUAUUUCUUCAUAAAGAACUAUUGUGGUACCAAGGAACAAUCAAGACACAAACUGAAAAGAAAAAAAACAUCUAUAAGAAAACCUUCAAAGAAAAACAUAGGAAGGUGGAGUCAAGAUGACAAAGGACAUGAAACCCAAUUGAACCCCCUAAACAUUCCCCUCCAAACAACUUUAAAAUAAAGCCUCCAAUCAAAUUCUAGAAUGGCAGAGCCAACAAAAGUUCAGAGUGAGACAAUUUUCUAGCCUAAGACCACUUAGGAUGUGGGCAGAAGAGGUCUGUGACAUGAUCAUAGAGGCCUGUCUGGAGCACAAGCACAGGGCAGCAGCACUGGCAGGAAACCUUAGAGGUAACAGCAGCAGCAACAACAGUUUGGGGAUCUUGGCCCAGAGAUGGUAAAGAGAUCAGAAAACUGGUCAGAAAGAUAUUACAGGUAACUCUUUGCUGGCACUGGGUGCAGCUGACAGCCAUUGGUAACCUUGUUCUCCACAAGCAGUUCUAGGUAGCAGGUCCCAGGCAGAGAGUAGCACUUGUGAUCAAUCACAAAGGAAUAGUGGUCUUAGUUAAAUUUGCAAGGUAAGAAGGGGCAGUAACACCUGUGAGGGCAGAACACAAACCCUGAUCAUGGCUCCGGGGCCAAGGAGAGAAUUAGUGUUUGUAGCUGCAGUGGAUCAGGAUCUUUAUUCUGGAUAAAGACCACAGCACAGACUAGGAGAACAGUAGCCACACUUCUCCUUGCAUUACACAACCUUGUAAGCACCAAAAACUUAAGAUCCCCAGAACUAACUCUGGAAAUGGCAGCAAUGAAAAAAUGUCUUCUCACCCGCAGAUCAGCAAAACCUAACUUUAACAUAACAUUCAGAGUCAAGAAAUAAAUUGGGAAAAUAAGCAAAUAACAAAAAAGGAAAAAAAAAAGAAUUUGAACAUUAAAUUUGAACAUUAAAAAACAACUCAGAAGGAAGGAAAACCAAAACUACUACAAAGCAAAACCUCAAAAACAAAACCAAAAAAAAAAAAAAAAAAACUGGAUCUAAUAAGAAUGCCCAGAAGAGUUCAAGAAAGAGAUAAGAAUGGUAGAGGAAACAUUGGGAAAACAAAUGAGAGUAAUGCAAGAAAAUUAUGAAAAGGGAAUUAACACCUUGGUAAAAGAAACAUACAAAAAUUCUGAAGAGGAUAACCUUUAAAUACAGAAUUGACCCAAUGGUUAAAAAAAAAAAAAAAAAAAGGCACAAAAAUUCACUGAAGAAAACUCCUUAAAAAUAAUAGUUCAGUCCAUCAGUUGGAGAAUGGCUGAAUAAAUUGUGGUAUAUGAAAAUUAUGGAAUAUUACUGUUCUGUAAGAAAUGACCAACAGGAUGAUUUCAGAAAGGCCUGGAGAGACUUACACGAACUGAUGCUGAGUGAAAUGAGCAGGACCAGGAGAUCAUUAUAUACUUCAACAACAAUACUAGAUGAUGACCAGUUCUGAUGGAUCAGGUCAUCCUCAGCAACGAGAUCAACCAAAUCAUUUCUAAUGGAGCAGUAAUGAACUGAACUAGCUAUACCCAGAAAAAGAACUCUGGGAGAUGACUAAAAACCAUUACAUUGAAU
Sarcophilus harrisii (Tasmanian devil) is the source of this 2137-nucleotide long non-coding RNA. The record is from Ensembl. NCBI's taxonomy places the organism in Eukaryota, Metazoa, Chordata, Mammalia, Dasyuromorphia, Dasyuridae.